RNAcentral lists this ribosomal RNA (516 nucleotides) under uncultured bacterium. Its description in RNAcentral is "bacterial SSU rRNA". It matches the Rfam family "Bacterial small subunit ribosomal RNA", at positions 28 to 526 of the family's 1533-position model. The record is from RNAcentral.
GAUGAACGCUGGCGGCGUGCUUAACACAUGCAAGUCGAACGAAGCAGUCAUUAAGAAGCAUUUCGGUGCAGAUUGAUGACUGACUGAGUGGCGGACGGGUGAGUAACGCGUGGAUAACCUGCCUCAUACAGGGGGAUAACAGUUAGAAAUGACUGCUAAUACCGCAUAAGCGCACAGAAUCGCAUGAUUCAGUGUGAAAAACUCCGGUGGUAUGAGAUGGAUCCGCGUCUGAUUAGCUAGUUGGAGGGGUAACGGCCCACCAAGGCAACGAUCAGUAGCCGGCCUGAGAGGGCGACCGGCCACAUUGGGACUGAGACACGGCCCAAACUCCUACGGGAGGCAGCAGUGGGGAAUAUUGCACAAUGGGGGAAACCCUGAUGCAGCGACGCCGCGUGAAGGAAGAAGUAUCUCGGUAUGUAAACUUCUAUCAGCAGGGAAGAAAGCGUGAGUAAUCACGCCUGACGGUACCUGACUAAGAAGCCCCGGCUAAUUACGUGCCAGCAGCCGCAGUAAAAC